UACAGAGGUCCCAAGCGUUGUUCGGAUUCACUGGGCGUAAAGGGUGCGUAGGCGGUCGGGUAAGUCUGAUGUGAAAUCUCACAGCUUAACUGUGAAACUGCAUUAUACUAUUCGGCUAGAGAGUUGGAGGGGGGACUGGAAUUCUUGGUGUAGCAGUGAAAUGCGUAGAUAUCAAGAGGAACACCAGUGGCGAAGGCGAGUCCCUGGACAACUUCUGACGCUGAGGCACGAAAGCUAGGGGAGCAAACAGG
RNAcentral lists this ribosomal RNA (251 nucleotides) under uncultured bacterium. RNAcentral describes it as "partial 16S ribosomal RNA". It matches the Rfam family "Bacterial small subunit ribosomal RNA", at positions 524 to 776 of the family's 1533-position model. The record is from RNAcentral.